UCGAGAAUUUUUCUCAAUGGGCGCAAGCCUGAUGGAGCGACGCCGCGUGGGGGAUGAGGGGUUUCGAUCCGUAAACCCCUGUCAUUUGCGAACAAACCUUGAUUGUGAAUAGCGAUCGAGCUGAUUGUAGCGGAAGAGGAAGGGACGGCUAACUCUGUGCCAGCAGCCGCGGUAAUACAGAGGUCCCAAGCGUUGUUCGGAUUCACUGGGCGUAAAGGGUGCGUAGGUGGUCGGUGAAGUUCGGUGUGAAAGCUCGGAGCUCAACUCCGAAACGGCAUUGAAAACUCAUCGGCUGGAGGGUCGGAGGGGAGACUGGAAUUCUCGGUGUAGCAGUGAAAUGCGUAGAUAUCGAGAGGAACACCAGUGGCGAAGGCGAGUCUCUGGACGACUCCUGACACUGAGGCACGAAAGCCAGGGGAGCAAACAG
This 427-nucleotide ribosomal RNA is filed under the name uncultured bacterium. RNAcentral's name for it is "bacterial SSU rRNA". It matches the Rfam family "Bacterial small subunit ribosomal RNA", at positions 355 to 775 of the family's 1533-position model. The record is from RNAcentral.